RNAcentral lists this long non-coding RNA (649 nucleotides) under Bemisia tabaci. RNAcentral describes it as "lncRNA ENSASIAIIG008882". Lineage: Eukaryota; Metazoa; Arthropoda; Insecta; Hemiptera; Aleyrodidae. The record is from RNAcentral.
UGCGGUUGGUGUGCGUGUGGUCUGCGCGUGGUCAGUGCGCACUGCGCAGUUCAGCAGCUUCAUUCUUCGUGAGCAAGUGUUCGUGUGUCUGUGUUUUCCCGCGUGUGCUCAGUCAGAACUUCAGAAGAGAGCCUAACAAGUACUUUACAUCUAAUUACUCAUUGUUUCAACGAUUAUUUUACGAUCAUUAUUCGUACCUUUGCGUUAUUCGCGAUUAAUAGGGUGUGCGGAAUUUUCAAUGAAUUGGAAGCAAAUUCGCGUUAUAAGUGAGCCUCGAGGUCGUGGUUUCCAGCGGCAUUUUCGUGGAGGAUCAACAUUGUUCGCUUUGAUUCGGUUUUUCUUUCGUGAGUUUCGUGCCGCUUCGUUACGGUUUGCGUGGACUUCUGAAACUGUUUUCAAAGCAUGUGUUAGUGCUACAUUUUGUCGACUUCUAAAAGACACUAAAGGCUCCAGUGCUUCAGUCUGUUCUGAUGCGGAUUGUCAUAGUGUUCGCGUGGUGAGUGCUUCCAGCUUGGAGUCGGGCAAAUGGAUAACCUUCUCUUCAUUUUCCUGCUUCUCAACUCGCCUGCUAAAAACCAAGGAGCCGCUGAUAGGUAUGCAGACAUAUUUUUUGACAUUUCAAACAUUCAAGGACUCAAAUUUUGAAAAA